UACGUAGGGGGCAAGCGUUGUCCGGAAUCAUUGGGCGUAAAGAGCGCGUAGGCGGCCCUGUAAGUCCGCUGUGAAAGUCAAGGGCUCAACCCUUGGAUGCCGGUGGAUACUGCAGGGCUAGAGUCCGGAAGAGGCGAGUGGAAUUCCUGGUGUAGCGGUGAAAUGCGCAGAUAUCAGGAGGAACACCGAUGGCGAAGGCGCCCUGCUGGACCAUAACUGACACUCAGGGACGAAAGCUAGGGGAGCGAAUGGG
This 253-nucleotide ribosomal RNA is filed under the name uncultured bacterium. Its description in RNAcentral is "partial 16S ribosomal RNA". It matches the Rfam family "Bacterial small subunit ribosomal RNA", at positions 524 to 776 of the family's 1533-position model. The record is from RNAcentral.